AGCGAACGCUGGCGGCAUGCCUAACACAUGCAAGUCGCACGGGGGGGCUUCGGCCUCCCAGUGGCGGACGGGUGAGGAACGCGUAGGGACCUGUCGAGGGGUGGGGGAUAACCGCGGGAAACUGCGGCUAAUACCGCAUGACGCCGCGGCGUGACAGCCGGGGCCAAAGGCGAAAGCCGCCCGCCGAGGGGCCUGCGUCCGAUUAGCUGGUUGGCGGGGUAGCGGCCCACCAAGGCGUCGAUCGGUAGCUGGUCAGAGAGGGUGAUCAGCCACACCGGGACUGAGACACGGCCCGGACUCCUACGGGAGGCAGCAGUGGGGAAUAUUGGACAAUGGGCGCAAGCCUGAUCCAGCAAUGCCGCGUGGGUGAAGAAGGUCUUCGGAUUGUAAAGCCCUUUCGGCGGGGACGAUGGUGACGGUACCCGCAGAAGAAGCCCCGGCUAACUUCGUG
Molecule: ribosomal RNA, 451 nt
Filed under: uncultured bacterium
Lineage: Bacteria
Description: partial 16S ribosomal RNA
Rfam family: Bacterial small subunit ribosomal RNA
Source: RNAcentral